CCUAGUACGAGAGGACCGGAGUGGACGACCCUCUGGUGUUCCGGUUGUCACGCCAGUGGCAUUGCCGGGUAGCUAUGGUCGGACAGGAUAACCGCUGAAAGCAUCUAAGCGGGAAGCCCCCUUCAAGAUGAGACAUCCCUGAGGCCUAGAGCCUCCUAAAGGGCCCAGCGAGACCAGCUGGUUGAUAGGCACGGUGUGGAAGCGCUGCAAGGCGUUGAGCUAACGUGUACUAAUGGCCCGUGAGGCUUGACCCUAUAACACCCAAGGGGU
Molecule: ribosomal RNA, 270 nt
Filed under: Idiomarina sp. H105
Lineage: Bacteria; Pseudomonadati; Pseudomonadota; Gammaproteobacteria; Alteromonadales; Idiomarinaceae
Also listed under: 1 other name
Description: partial 23S ribosomal RNA
Rfam family: Bacterial large subunit ribosomal RNA
Source: RNAcentral